GAUGAACGCUGGCGGCGUGCCUAAUACAUGCAAGUCGAGCGAACAGAUGAGGAGCUUGCUCCUCUGACGUUAGCGGCGGACGGGUGAGUAACACGUGGAUAACCUACCUAUAAGACUGGGAUAACUACGGGAAACCGGAGCUAAUACCGGAUAAUAUAUUGAACCGCAUGGUUCAAUAGUGAAAGACGGUUUUGCUGUCACUUAUAGAUGGAUCCGCGCCGCAUUAGCUAGUUGGUAAGGUAACGGCUUACCAAGGCAACGAUGCGUAGCCGACCUGAGAGGGUGAUCGGCCACACUGGAACUGAGACACGGUCCAGACUCCUACGGGAGGCAGCAGUAGGGAAUCUUCCGCAAUGGGCGAAAGCCUGACGGAGCAACGCCGCGUGAGUGAUGAAGGUCUUCGGAUCGUAAAACUCUGUUAUUAGGGAAGAGCAAAUGUGUAAGUAACUAUGCACGUCUUGACGGUACCUAAUCAGAAAGCCACGGCUAACUACGUG
This 497-nucleotide ribosomal RNA is filed under the name uncultured bacterium. RNAcentral describes it as "partial 16S ribosomal RNA". It matches the Rfam family "Bacterial small subunit ribosomal RNA", at positions 28 to 507 of the family's 1533-position model. The record is from RNAcentral.